AGUUUAAUUGGCAAUAUCGUAACCAAUGAGUUUUAUCCGAAGUAGGAUUAAUGCUAGUUGAAAACUUGUACUAAUACCCCGCCAAAUUAGCGUUAAAUAUCGUCGCUUCUGGCAAUUUUUAAGAGCUCAUACGGAAUGAC
Cryptotermes secundus is the source of this 140-nucleotide small nuclear RNA. RefSeq annotates it as U4 spliceosomal RNA. The record is from RefSeq and is a predicted model, not a curated record. Lineage: Eukaryota; Metazoa; Arthropoda; Insecta; Blattodea; Kalotermitidae. The transcript has a single exon.